UGGAUGAAGACAGAGAAGUGGAGUUUGAAACUAGCAUGUAUCAUUUUAGUGAGCAUGUACCUCCGACAAGGGAGAGCAAGAGUUUGAGUGAAGCUCACAUGAACAACAGCAAGCUGCAGAAGUGGUGCAAGAAACAUGAUAAGUUACUCGCCAAGUGCUUCAAGACUAUCAAGUUUCUGACAGAUAAGCUGAGCUGCUCCUCUUCCACAACAGCUAUCCCA
Molecule: microRNA precursor, 221 nt
Filed under: Arabidopsis thaliana (thale cress)
Lineage: Eukaryota; Viridiplantae; Streptophyta; Magnoliopsida; Brassicales; Brassicaceae
Description: MIR854 microRNA precursor family
Rfam family: MIR854 microRNA precursor family
Source: Rfam by way of RNAcentral